Molecule: ribosomal RNA, 1426 nt
Filed under: uncultured Prochloron sp.
Lineage: Bacteria; Bacillati; Cyanobacteriota; Cyanophyceae; Chroococcales; Prochloraceae
Description: bacterial SSU rRNA
Rfam family: Bacterial small subunit ribosomal RNA
Source: RNAcentral
UGGCUCAGGAUGAACGCUGGCGGUAUGCUUAACACAUGCAAGUCGAACGGACUCUUAGGAGUUAGUGGCGGACGGGUGAGUAACGCGUGAGAAUCUACCUCAAGGACGGGGACAACAUCAGGAAACUGGUGCUAAUACCCGAUAAGCUGAAAAGUGAAAGAUUUAUUGCCGAGAGAGGAGCUCGCGUCCGAUUAGCUAGUUGGAAGGGUAAAAGCCUACCAAGGCAAUGAUCGGUAGCUGGUCUGAGAGGAUGAGCAGCCACACUGGGACUGAGACACGGCCCAGACUCCUACGGGAGGCAGCAGUGGGGAAUUUUCCGCAAUGGGCGAAAGCCUGACGGAGCAAUACCGCGUGAGGGAAGAAGGCUUUUGGGUUGUAAACCUCUUUUGUCAGGGAAGAAGAAUUGACGGUACCUGAAGAAAAAGCAUCGGCUAACUCCGUGCCAGCAGCCGCGGUAAUACGGAGGAUGCAAGCGUUAUCCGGAAUCAUUGGGCGUAAAGGGUCCGCAGGUGGCGAAUAAAGUCUGCUGUUAAAGACCGGGGCUUAACUCCGGAAAGGCAGUGGAAACUGAUUAGCUAGAGUACGGUAGGGGUAGAGGGAAUUCCCAGUGUAGCGGUGAAAUGCGUAGAUAUUGGGAAGAACACCGGUGGCGAAAGCGCUCUACUAGGCCGAAACUGACACUGAGUAGACGGAAAGCUAGGGUAGCGAAAGGGAUUAGAUACCCCUGUAGUCUUAGCGGUAAACGAUGGAUACUAGGUGUAGCUUGUAUCGACCCAAGCUGUGCCGAAGCUAACGCGAUAAGUAUCCCGCCUGGGGAGUACGCACGCAAGUGUGAAACUCAAAGGAAUUGACGGGGGCCCGCACAAGCGGUGGAGUAUGUGGUUUAAUUCGAUGCAACGCGAAGAACCUUACCAGGGCUUGACAUGUCGCGAAUCUAGCGGAAACGUUAGAGUGCCUUAGGGAAUGCGAACACAGGUGGUGCAUGGCUGUCGUCAGCUCGUGUCGUGAGAUGUUGGGUUAAGUCCCGCAACGAGCGCAACCCUCGUCCUUAGUUGCCAAUAUUAAGUUAGGCACUCUAGGGAGACUGCCGGGGACAACUCGGAGGAAGGUGGGGAUGACGUCAAGUCAGCAUGCCCCUUACGUCCUGGGCUACACACGUACUACAAUGGUUGGGACAAAGGGCAGCAAGCUCGCGAGAGUAAGCGAAUCUCAUCAAACCCAGCCACAGUUCAGAUUGCAGGCUGCAACUCGCCUGCAUGAAGUAGGAAUCGCUAGUAAUCGCAGGUCAGCAUACUGCGGUGAAUUCGUUCCCGGGCCUUGUACACACCGCCCGUCACACCAUGGAAGCUGGCUACGCCCGAAGUCGUUACCCUAACCCGGUUUUGGGAGGGGGAUGCCGAAGGUAGAGCUAGUGACUGGGGUGAAG